GAUGAGCCUGCGUCCCAUCAGUUAGUUGGUAAGGUAACGGCUUACCAAGGCGAAGACGGGUAGCUGGUUUGAGAGAAUGAUCAGCCACACUGGAACUGGAACACGGUCCAGACUCCCACGGGAGGCAGCAGUGAGGCCACUUGGGCAAUGGGGCGGCAAGCCUGACCCAGCCACGCCGCGUGAGUGAUGAAGGGGCUUCGGGUUGUAAAGCUCUGUGGAGAGAGAAGAAAAACCGGCGGAAUAAUACCUGACCGGCUUGACGGUAU
This 266-nucleotide ribosomal RNA is filed under the name marine snow associated bacterium Adriatic60. RNAcentral describes it as "partial 16S ribosomal RNA". It matches the Rfam family "Bacterial small subunit ribosomal RNA", at positions 224 to 478 of the family's 1533-position model. The record is from RNAcentral.